This 29-nucleotide non-coding RNA is filed under the name Mus musculus (house mouse). Lineage: Eukaryota; Metazoa; Chordata; Mammalia; Rodentia; Muridae. The record is from RNAcentral.
UGCUAAGGUGUCAUUACAGUUUGGCUGUA